Molecule: long non-coding RNA, 2178 nt
Filed under: Salmo salar (Atlantic salmon)
Lineage: Eukaryota; Metazoa; Chordata; Actinopteri; Salmoniformes; Salmonidae
Description: lncRNA (ENSSSAG00000113847.1)
Source: RNAcentral
AAUUAUUUUAAGAAUUAUAGAUACAGAACUCCUCUAUGCACUCGAUAUGUCCGAUUUUAAAAUAGCUUUUCGGUGAAAGCACAUUUUGCAAUAUUCUCAGUAGAUAGCCCGGCAUCACAGGGCUAGCUAUUUAGACACCCAGCAAAUGUAGCACUCACCAAAGUCAGAUUUACUAUAAGAAAAAUGUUAUUACCUUUGCUGUCUUCAUCAGAAUGCACUCCCAGGACUUCUACUUCAAUAACAAAUGUUGGUUUGGUUCAAAAUAAUCCAUAGUUAUAUCCAAACAGCGGCGUUUUGUUCGUGCGUUCAAUACACUAUCCGAAAGGGUAAAUAAGGGUGACGAGCAUGGCGCAAUUCGUGACAAAAAAAUUCUAAAUAUUCCAUUACCGUACUUCGAAGCAUGUCAACCGCUGUUUAAAAUCAAUUUUUAUGCCAUUUUUCUCAUAAAAAAGCGAUAAUAUUCCGACCGGGAAUCUGCGUUUAUGUAAACAGCCCAUAGUACUCUGAUCGGCCACUUGCCAAAAGCGAUAAUGUGUUUCAGCCAGAGGCUGCCUCGAUAUCGUUCAGCUUUUUCCUGGGCUCUGAGAGCCUAUGGGAGCCGUAGGAAGUGUCACGUUAGAGCAAAGAUCCUCAGUCUUCAAUAAAAAGAGCCAAGAUGAAACACAACUUCUCAGACAGGCCACUUCCUGCAUGGAAUCUUCUCAGGUUUUGGCCUGCCAUUUGAGUUCUGUUAUACUCACAGACACCAUUCAAACAGAAACUUUAGGGUGUUUUCUAUCCAAAGCCAAUAAUUAUAUGCAUAUUCUAGUUACUGGGCAGGAGUAGUAACCAGAUUAAAUCAGGUACGUUUUUUAUCCGGCCGUGUCAAUACUGCCCCCUAGCCCUAACAGGUUAAAUCAUGUAAACGGCGAGAGGCAGAAUUUGGAUCCAGGGCCAAGGAGUUCACCUAUGUGUACAUCAAGAACUUUGGCAUCAACAUGGACGAUGACAAACUGUGAGACAUGGUUGACAUGCUCCAGGGAGUGUCAUGGUUGAUCACAGCAUGAAAUCCAGAGGAUUUGGCUUCCUCAGUUUGAAAAGGAAGGAGGAUGCACAGAAGGCUGUGGAUCAGAUAAAUGAGGAGGUGAACAGGAGGUGGAUCUAUGUGGGCCACGCCCAGAAGAAAUGCGCAACAAGCUCUAACAAUCUCAUGUCAGAAUUAGACGUUUAUCCAUGUUUCUCAAUCGUCAGAUUUCGAAGUUGUCCCAAACUUAACAUUUAGAAGUGUUUAAGGUUAGACAUUAACUGUGAAUGGUUAAGGUAAGUGUUAAGGUUUGAGAUAGGCUUAAAACAAAAAUCAAAAAAGUGGCCAGUUUUUACGUCAUCUCCCGACAUCCUCAGACAUGGAUCGACAUCUAAUCCUGAUUUGUACCACCGGUGACCUGGCUGGAAAUGCAAGUGCCAGACAGUGCUAAAAUGCAGGAUUGAGCUGAGGAAGAAGGCCGCAUUAACUGAGUCGAUCUGUAUAUGAAUAAUAUGGAUGAUAGCUGGGACGGCCAUCAUCUCCAGGAAGAGCUUUGCCGCUUCGGAACAAUCACUAGCACCAAGGUGAUGAUGGAGCACGGUUGAAGCAAAGGCUUUGACGCCACCAAGGCUUUGACGGAGAUGAACAGCCGCAUCGUGACCAACAAGCCGCUAUCUGUGGCUCCGGCCCAGUACAAGACCCUACAGCAGGAGUAUCUGAAGAACUGCUACCUGCAGAGGAUGGCUAGCGUCAUGGCCAUCCCCAACCCAACCAUCAUCAACCCCAACCAGCCUGCACCCGCCAUUAUGCAUCAAUGCACCAUGAGUGCCUCAUCCUCCCAUCAGAUGAGGGAGUAUAUCUGAUGAUGCAACAUAUAUGUAAAUGAUGGAGUCAUUGUUGAUACUACUCCCAUACCAUUUAUCUUGAAUGUCUUUAGUUGGACGAAUACUGGCUAUUGUCAUCAUCACAUCUCUGAUCAUAAAUAUAUUCGCCCCACCUUCCCAGGCAGCCAUAGUGAGCAUGCCUCAGAAAACCUCUCAGCAGGAAAUGAAUGCCCUGCUUCAGGUCCACAUGCAAUCGCCUGCUGUCCAUGUCCAGGAGCCUCUGACUGCUUCCAUGCUGUCAACCUUAUCCCUUGAGAACCCAAAAUAAAGUCUGUGUGAGUCUGGCAUCCA